RNAcentral lists this ribosomal RNA (324 nucleotides) under uncultured Alphaproteobacteria bacterium. RNAcentral describes it as "bacterial SSU rRNA". It matches the Rfam family "Bacterial small subunit ribosomal RNA", at positions 20 to 352 of the family's 1533-position model. Lineage: Bacteria; Pseudomonadati; Pseudomonadota; Alphaproteobacteria. The record is from RNAcentral.
UGGCUCAGAACGAACGCUGGCGGCAUGCUUAACACAUGCAAGUCGAACGCUCAUUCGGGCUUCGGUUCGGAUGGGAGUGGCGCACGGGUGAGUAGCGCGUGGGAACCUGCCCUGGAGUGGGGGAUAACCGAGGGAAACCUCGGCUAAUACCGCAUGCGCCCGGUGGAGACACCGGGGAAAGAUUUAUCGCUCUAGGAGGGGCCCGCGUCGGAUUAGCUGGUUGGUGGGGUAACGGCCUACCAAGGCGAUGAUCAGUAGCUGGUCUGAGAGGAUGAUCAGCCACACUGGGACUGAGACACGGCCCAGACGACUACGGGAGGCAGC